CCUACGGGUGGCAGCAGUAGGGAAUUUUCGUCAAUGGGCGCAAGCCUGAACGAGCGAUGCCGCGUGAGUGAAGAAGGCCCUCGGGUCGUAAAGCUUCGUUUCGGGGGAAAUAAGGCAGCACCCGGAAAUGGGUGCUGACUGAUGGUGUCCCGCCAGAUAGUCACGGUUAACUACGGGCCAGCAGCCGCGGUAAUACGUAGGUGGCGAGCGUUAUCCGGAUGGAUUGGGCGGAAAGGGUGCGCAGUCGGUCCUGCAAGUCUGGAGUGAAACGAAUGAGCUCAACCCAUGAAUGGCUUUGGAAACUGGCAGACUGGAGAGCAGGAGAGGGCGGUGGAACUCGAGGUGUAGCGGUGAAAUGCGUAGAUAUCACGAAGAACCCCGAUUGCGAAGGCAGCUUACUAAACUGUGACUGACAUUGAUGCUCGAAAGUGUGGGUAUCAAACAGGAUUAGAUACCCCAGUAGUC
RNAcentral lists this ribosomal RNA (465 nucleotides) under uncultured bacterium. RNAcentral describes it as "partial 16S ribosomal RNA". It matches the Rfam family "Bacterial small subunit ribosomal RNA", at positions 338 to 795 of the family's 1533-position model. The record is from RNAcentral.